Molecule: long non-coding RNA, 1482 nt
Organism: Drosophila mojavensis
Lineage: Eukaryota; Metazoa; Arthropoda; Insecta; Diptera; Drosophilidae
Exons: 2
Source: RefSeq, a predicted model, not a curated record
CCCUUAGUUGCAGCGACCAAUGCAGCGUCUAAUAUAUGUAAAUGUAACGUGAGCCUGGGCCCAAAGAUUCAAAAAAAGGGACACUUAAGUAAACAUCUGGGCACUUGUUUGUGUGAGAAAAUGCACCCUUCCAGUGACUGGAAGUAGUUUUAAGAGUCUCUGUUAGGUAUAUAAGAACUAGGAUUUUAAGCAAUAAAGAGUUCAGUUAAGAUCUUGAAUUCGGCAAAUGUGGAGUGUUUUUCAUUUUAACGCUCUAACAUUUUGGUCCUUCGGCGUUCUCUGUGUUUUCCCCCACCCGUGUGCUGGUGGGUCUGCAUUCCCAAAAAGGGACUAGACCAAAUAAAAAAAAAAAAAAAAAUUUAAAAAUCCGAAAAGUUCGGUUCUCUCGUGAAGUGCGGAGAGAGAAAAACAAAAAACAAAAACAAAAAUUGAAGUGAUUCUGUUCUCUCGCGUGAAGUGCGGAGACAGAAAAAAUUAAAAAAGAAUAAUAAAUAAAAAUCCGAAAAAUUCGGUUCAAAAAAAUAAAAAAUCGAAGUAAUUCUGUUCUCUCGCGCAAAGUGCGGAGAGGCAGAAUACUACCAAAAGGUUUCUGUUCUCCAUCCAAAAAGAGAGACAGAGUAAAACUACAGCGAAAUUCGACGAAAGAAAGCGACUCAUCAGAACCGUCAGUGGCCAACGGGAAGAGGAAUAUCACCAAGAUCAUCAGGCGCCCCCUUCAGAGAAGACUGGAUCAACAGGAGGACAGCGCGGAUAAGAUAAAGAUAAGUCGUAGUUUAAUUUUUUUUAAUAAAUAUAAAUAAAAAUAAAAAGAAUGCUGUCAGAAAAAGUGAUAAAGCUCUUGAAAAUGCAAUCGGACUUAGUGUCCAGAUUGAAAAAACUAGACUCAUCUGAAGAAAUUAGGCCACCGAGCGAAAUUUUAGGAGAGUUAGAAAAAAUAAAAGAAGAAUUAGAAAAUAAUCAUACCUUAUUGUUAAAAGUAGGGGUAAUAGACCAUGCAUACUUUAACAAUAAGGAAUUUGAUAAAGCGAUGAAAAGCAUACAAGAUUUGAAAUUAGAAAUUAUGAGGGCUGAGAAAGAAGAAGAUAAAGAUGUGAAGCAUGUUAGAGCAGUCACAGUUCACAAAAGCUCUGAAGAAGAAGUAGAGUUUGAAAGCAAAGUCGAACAGUUAAAACUAUAUUUAGUAGAAGUAUAUGAGGACAUUGCAAAAGGAAACGUAGGAAUCUUCGAGAUUCGAAAGAAUAAAAUUAGAUAUUUAUGGAAUAAAGUUUCAAAGCUAGUUCAGGAGCUAAGAAAUAAAUAUGUGUCAAACAAAAUGUUUGACGAAGAGGUUAAUGAAUUAGAUUUUGAUGUGCAAAAUGCAAUCAGUGCGUUAGAAGCCAAAAAAGGCACCCCAAUUCAACCCAUAAUCCACGAAAAAAUGGAUAACCUUCCGGGUCUACCAAAAAUUCAAGUCCCAAUAUUUUUUGGAGAUGUCAAAGAUUG